This 72-nucleotide transfer RNA is filed under the name Bos taurus (domestic cattle). It matches the Rfam family "tRNA". Rfam says of the family: Transfer RNA (tRNA) molecules are approximately 80 nucleotides in length. Their secondary structure includes four short double-helical elements and three loops (D, anti-codon, and T loops). RNAcentral also lists the same sequence under 1 other name. The record is from Rfam by way of RNAcentral. Lineage: Eukaryota; Metazoa; Chordata; Mammalia; Artiodactyla; Bovidae.
UCCCUGAUAGCUCAGUUGGUAAAGAAUCUGCCUGCAAUGCAGAAAACCCUGGUUCGAUUCCUGAGUUGGGAA